GCGGGACCAGGACUCAGUCUCCCCGUCUGGGCAGUGGGGACGCGGAGGAAGGCGGGGAGAAGCGGCCGGGGCAGGGCUGACAGGGGCCCCCGGGCGCCACAGGCAAGGUCAGCGAGGCCGCCCCGUGGGUGGGCGCGUGGGCAGGCAGCGGUCGGCGGCUCCCCAUCCCCUGGGCGCACCCCUCCCCGGGAACCGGGCCGGACAAUGCCCGUGGGGAGGCACCCCGUGUUUGCACAGGCCACCCCGGAAUGUGGUGGGACAGGCCCCGGGGGCCCCUGAGUCAGCACCACGGGCACCAGGCCAGGACGGGGAGGGCCAGCCCUGGCAGGUGGCACUGGUCCUGGGGUGACCGGCACAGGGCACGUCGGGGGUCCAGGGUGGUGGGUGGGUGGGCUCUGCCGCUGGAGCCCCGGGUUGGGGCUCGCCCCAGGUCAGGGCUCAUUCACCCUCUCGUCUCUCGCUGCUGCCCCUGUUGCCCCCGGAGCGCUGGCUCCGUCCCACGGGGCCUCAUAUGGGAGAGCCAGGAGCCCCCUGCGCCCCGUUUAUUCCUGCCACCAGCCCUGUGAUGUCCCUGCCUGGACAAGGACACAGCAUGAACAUGCCCAGGCCCCGGCCCCACACCCAGCACUCACCCUGCCCCUUGGAAAGCCUCCGGCCACCCUCAGACCCGUCCCCCAUCACCUGUCCCCAUCCCCCCUCUCCGCACCCCAGGGGCCAGCCCUGUCCCCUCACAAUGUCCAUCUACCUCCACUCCUCCUGCCAGGAGCCCUCGCCCACUGGGCAGCCAUAGGGGUCCCUCCCUCUCGGGCUCCAGUCCCGCUGUGGCUCCCUAGUGCCCUCUCCGUCAAGGCCCCGCCCCACCCUCUGACCUUGGCUCCUUCACCUUCCAUUUCCCUGAGCUCCACCUCCCAGCCUCUGUCACGCACUUCUCGCCUGUCCCCUGGUCACCCCCCGAGUGUCACUGCCCCCCAGACCCACCCCACCGAGCUCAGGGUCCUGUGGGGCCCACUCAGAGCCCUCUGGAUCUCGGCCUGGUGCCCAGCAGUGGGGGGUGGGAGGCUGAGGUGCCGGUCCCUGGCUCCAGAGGACGGGGUGGGGGGGCUGGAGGGCCAGGGGUCAGAUGGCCUCUGGUCCCCUCCCCCCUUCCUGCUACUUCCCGCUGCUAGGCCUAGGGAGGGGCCAGUGGCCCCAGCUCCUGUCCCAGCUCUGCUCCCAGGUGGCCUGCAGCCCGGGGACACUGGCAGCCCCAGGCCCAAACACCGGGCCCUCCCCGAAGCAGGGACGAUGAAGGAAUGAGGGAGGGAGUGAGCCCUGACCGGCCGCCCAGCUGAGCCCCCGCGCCCCCCCCGGGGGUGU
RNAcentral lists this long non-coding RNA (1356 nucleotides) under Vulpes vulpes (red fox). RNAcentral describes it as "lncRNA (ENSVVUG00000023542.1)". The record is from RNAcentral. Lineage: Eukaryota; Metazoa; Chordata; Mammalia; Carnivora; Canidae.